GGAUGAACGCUGGCGGCGUGCUUAACACAUGCAGGUCGAACGGACUUUACUUGAAGCCUAGCGAUAGUAAAGUUAGUGGCGGACGGGUGAGUAACGCGUGGGUAACCUGCCCUAUACAGGGGGACAACAGUUGGAAACGACUGCUAAUACCGCAUAAGCGCACAGCUUCGCAUGAAGCAGUGUGAAAAACUCCGGUGGUAUAGGAUGGACCCGCGUCUGAUUAGCUAGUUGGUGAGGUAACGGCCCACCAAGGCGACGAUCAGUAGCCGGCCUGAGAGGGUGAACGGCCACAUUGGGACUGAGACACGGCCCAAACUCCUACGGGAGGCAGCAGUGGGGAAUAUUGCACAAUGGGCGAAACCCUGAUGCAGCGACGCCGCGUGAGUGAAGAAGUAUUUCGGUAUGUAAAGCUCUAUCAGCAGGGAAGAAAAUGACGGUACCUGACUAAGAAGCCCCGGCUAACUACGUGCCAGCAGCCGCGGUAAUACGUAGGGGGCAAGCGUUAUCCGGAUUUACUGGGUGUAAAGGGAGCGUAGACGGUAAACCAAGUCUGAAGUGAAAUACCGGGGCUCAACUCCGGGGCUGCAUUUUGAACUGAAGAUCUUGAGUGCAGGAGAGGGAAGCGGAAUUCCUAGUGUAGCGGUGAAAUGCGUAGAUAUUAGGAGGAACACCAGUGGCGAAGGCGGCUUUCUGGACUGUAACUGACGUUGAGGCGCGAAAGCGUGGGUAGCAAACAGGAUUAGAUACCCUGGUAGUCCACGCUGUAAACGAUGAUUACUAGGUGUGGGGGGACUGACCCCUUCCGUGCCGGAGUUAACACAAUAAGUAUUCCACCUGGGGAGUACGACCGCAAGGUUGAAACUCAAAGGAAUUGACGGGGACCCGCACAAGCGGUGGAGCAUGUGGUUUAAUUCGAAGCAACGCGAAGAACCUUACCUGGUCUUGACAUCCGGAUGACCGCCAAGUAAUGUUGGCUUUCCUUCGGGACAACCGAGACAGGUGGUGCAUGGUUGUCGUCAGCUCGUGUCGUGAGAUGUUGGGUUAAGUCCCGCAACGAGCGCAACCCCUAUCUUUAGUAGCCAGCGGUUUGGCCGGGCACUCUAGAGAGACUGCCAGGGAUAACCUGGAGGAAGGUGGGGAUGACGUCAAAUCAUCAUGCCCCUUAUGACCAGGGCUACACACGUGCUACAAUGGCGUAAACAAAGGGAAGCAAAGCUGUGAGGCCUAGCAAAUCUCAAAAAUAACGUCUCAGUUCGGAUUGUAGUCUGCAACUCGACUACAUGAAGCUGGAAUCGCUAGUAAUCGCGAAUCAGAAUGUCGCGGUGAAUACGUUCCCGGGCCUUGCACUCACCGCCCGUCA
This 1360-nucleotide ribosomal RNA is filed under the name uncultured bacterium. RNAcentral describes it as "bacterial SSU rRNA". It matches the Rfam family "Bacterial small subunit ribosomal RNA", at positions 27 to 1399 of the family's 1533-position model. The record is from RNAcentral.